RNAcentral lists this ribosomal RNA (404 nucleotides) under uncultured bacterium. RNAcentral describes it as "partial 16S ribosomal RNA". It matches the Rfam family "Bacterial small subunit ribosomal RNA", at positions 30 to 526 of the family's 1533-position model. The record is from RNAcentral.
AUUGAACGCUGGCGGCAGGCCUAACACAUGCAAGUCGAGCGAGCUUCGGACGGGUGAGUAAUGCCUGCGUAUUGCCCAGUCGAUGGGGAUAACAGUUGGCAACGAGUGCUCAUACCGCAUCCGGCUGGAUUGCCCAGGUGGGAUUAGCUCGUUGGUGAGUUAAUGGCUCACCAAGGCGACGAUCCCGAGCUGGUCUGAGAGGAUGAUCAGCCACACUGGAACUGAGACACGGCCCAGACUCCUACGGGAGGCAGCAGUGGGGAAUAUUGCACAAUGGGCGAAAGCCUGAGGCAGCCAUGCCGCGUGUGUGAAGAAGGCCUUCGGGUUGUAAAGCACUUUCAGCGGGGAGGCGUUACUUGCAGAAGAAGCACCGGCUAACUCCGUGCCAGCAGCCGCGGUAAUUC